This 213-nucleotide long non-coding RNA is filed under the name Mustela putorius furo (domestic ferret). RNAcentral's name for it is "lncRNA (ENSMPUG00000025263.1)". The record is from RNAcentral. Lineage: Eukaryota; Metazoa; Chordata; Mammalia; Carnivora; Mustelidae.
GGGUGACCUUCUCGGCAGAACCUUUCAGCUGCUGUGGUUCAUCACACUUUGAGAAUUUCCUACGUACUGCAGAAACAGAGGAGCAAUUGAAUCAGCCAGAGGAACUAGAGCCAGAGGAACAAGAUCAUAAUUAGGGUUUUAUAAGGUCAAUUUGUAGUAAUAUUAGCUUUCUUGCUAAUUAUAGUAGAUAGUAUAUUCAACAUAACAUUAAAA